AUGAUUUAUUGACUUAAUGAUCCUUUCUUUGGUAACUCAAGCCCAUUAAGUUGUGAUUCAGAGCUUCUCAUUGGUUGUCUAGCUCGAGUACCGUCGCGUGUGAACUAGGUUGCACCUCGUCCAUACAGGGCACGUGAAAUUGAGACGCACAUUAAGAGACGUUGAUCGUUCGUACAAGACACAUCGAAUCAAGGCAUGCGUAACUUGAAUAGGACCACAAAAAGUUUAUCUGCAUAGCCCAAUCUAGGACGAGCUUGCCAUGGUUUAUGUCACUUGAACAGUUAAACCAAUGCUGAAUGAGGAUGAGCUGAGCUGGCAUGACCUGAACAGUCAAACCAGUGUUGAGUGAGGACCAACUGAGCUGGCAUGAAUUGAAUAAUCAAACCAAUGUUGAGUGAGGACGGUUUGAGUUGGCGUGACUUGAACAGUCAAACGAGUGUUGAGUGAGGACGAGCUGAGAUGGCAUGACUUGAACAUUCAAAC
RNAcentral lists this long non-coding RNA (483 nucleotides) under Medicago truncatula (barrel medic). Its description in RNAcentral is "long non-coding RNA (MTRU_LNC004335)". Lineage: Eukaryota; Viridiplantae; Streptophyta; Magnoliopsida; Fabales; Fabaceae. The record is from RNAcentral.